This 1200-nucleotide long non-coding RNA is filed under the name Scleropages formosus (Asian bonytongue). RNAcentral describes it as "lncRNA (ENSSFOG00015025974.1)". Lineage: Eukaryota; Metazoa; Chordata; Actinopteri; Osteoglossiformes; Osteoglossidae. The record is from RNAcentral.
CUCCAGAACCCGCGUCUAUUUGGACCGGCACUGUACCUGGGAGAGAACCUGAACAACAGGCUCAAGUGGACGGUGGACAGUGGACAGCGAGCACUGAGGUCCGGCACAAGAAAGGACAAAGUUGUCUUUACCUUCCGAGGGUGCUCAGGUCCUUCGGAUAGUUCAGCUCGUAGCUGCAGAUGUUCCACCAGUCGGAUCUUUUUUGCAGAAGAAUCCUGUGAGAGUACCUUUACCACAAGAGAUCAGGAAAGUUCCAUCCUCAAAGUGAGGCUGGACCCCUCUGGUGGAAGUCACACUAAUGGACCCUGGUCCAUUCUGGACAACGAUUCACACCCUCUGCACGCCACCUUGGCCGAACAAAGAACCUUCAGCAUCAGGCUGGUCUAGUUGCGGUGUUCCAAAGAGUGCUAUGGGAGGUCAGUUCUACCAGGAGCCAUAAGGGGUUGAUCUUUUAAUGACCAAGUAGCACCAAGCUUGCUCUGGACCAUCUCGCUUCAUCCUGCCCUCUCUUGUGCAAAUGUACUUUCUGAAUAUAUUUUUAUUGAUUACCAUAUGAUCCAUCUACUUAUUUCUUUCUGUUUUGCCACUAUAUACUUAUGUUGUGUGUGUGCGUACAGUAUGUUGUAUAUUGUGUGCUGCUGUAACCCAGUGGAAUUUCCUCCUGGGAUUAAAAGCAUUUAAUUAAUUAAUUCACACACACAGAGAGUCUUAACCGCUUGUCCCAUAUGGGGUCACGGGGAGCCAGAGCCUAACCCGGCAACACAGGGCAUAAGGCUGGAGGGGGAGGGGACACACCCAGGAUGGGACACCUGUCCAUCACAAGGCACCCCAAGGGGACUCGAACCGCAGACCCGCCGGAGAGCCGGACCCAGCCAAGCCAUCGCCCCCCGCCCCCCCCCCUUGAUUAAUUCAUUAAUUCUUAAUAAUACCCAUGCUGUUAUUCUGCUUUACUGUUGUUGCUGUAAAGUUCAAAUCUGAUGACUGAUUUGACCAGAAAAAUUCCAUCAGCUGCAGAGCGCAACAUCAACGCGGGCUGGUAAUACCGAAAGCCGACUACGUUUCUCAGAUCAGCGUUUGUUGUGUUGAAUAUAUCAUGAAGAACAAGAAACCUGCUUUGAUUCUGAAAAUGCCUCUUUGUUUUUUGUGUUCAUCAUCUUGUCUGCGACUCCCAAAACGUACAUUUUGAUUAGUCUAUUCUCC